UGUUAUUUAUUUAUAUUUUUUUAAAUUGCUCCUUUGCACCGCAGUAUCUCUACUUGCACAUUCAUCUUCUGCACAUCUCACUAGAACACUUCAAAAUGAGAAGAUCCUGCCAUGGAAAAGAAGACUGGGUGGACAUAACGUGUAAAGGAGGGGAAAUAACUCAUAACAUGCAGCAGGACACCUUCAGCUGUGGGGUCUUUGUAAUAUGGCCAAGGAAGUUGCACAGAACUUCCCCAACAUCCCCUUCCAAAUUGAUAUGGAACCUUCAAAAGCACAUGGAGCAACUGCGGAAAGAAAUGGCUGAGGAUAGACAAAAAAUGUCUGAGUUCAACAAAGCCAACAACUGCUUCAUGUGGGCCACUGAUAAAGAACCUGGAUGUGGCCCAAAGACUGACUGGUAGGUUCACCAGCUGACCUAUAUCAAGACACCCAGGUUGACUGGAUUCCCCCUGUGAAGAUGAGUAAUGCUGCAGCAGCAUCAGUUUCUACUACUUCAUCUUUUUCCAGACAUGAAAGAAGACUCCCCUCAGUUAUAUGACAUGGUUGUCAUAUGCUGUGCUUUGGACAAUUUGAAUGAUUCUGUUGUGUCAAUUGAGUAGAGCACCUUGUCAUGACAAAAGUGCCCCCUUAAACUGUAUGAAUAUAAUGUAUUUGGAACGUUUCAAAGACUUGUUGAUAUUGUAAACAUACUGUACUUUAAGCCAUAUUGUUGUCCAAGUGUAAAGACAAGUAUUUUGUCAUCUUUGCUUUGCCUAGCCCCAUUGAAUAAAAAGUAUUUCUUAUGGCCCAACUAUUGCCAUGUUCCUUGCUUUUCAGAAACGUGGUUCUCAAACAAGGUGCACCCCAUGGCUAUCCAACUCGAUGGAUUCUUCUUUCACCAGGCAGACAGGAUAGUGGAGUUGGUUCCGGUCAUUUUAAUUUGGCGUCACUAAAUCAAAAAGAUAUAUAAUUCACAUGCGCCAAAUACAACAGGUAUAGAUAGACCUUACAGUGAAAUGCUUACUUACAAGCCCUUAGCCAACAAUGCAGUUAGGAAAAAUAAGUGUUAAAGUAUUUACUGAAAUAAACUGAAGAAAAUAAUGAAUAAAAAAAUUGGUGCAACAAUAAAAUAACAUUAGUCAAGGUAAUAUGUACAUGUAGGUAGAGGUAAAGUGACUAUGUUUGUAUAAUAAACAGAGUAGCAGAAAAAGUUUGGCAUGGGCUCUCAAAUCCUGAAAAGGUUCUACAACUGUACCUUUGAGAGCAUAUGGACUGGCUGCAUCACUGCUUGGUAUAGCAAUAGCAUCGCCCUCGAUCGCAUGGCGCUACAGAGGGUUGUAUGGGCAGCCCAGUACAUCACUGAGGCCGAGCUCCCUGCCAUCCUGGACCUCCAUAUCAGGUGAAAGACCCCAACCACCCAUGCCAUAGAUUCUCUGCUGCAGCACAGCAAGAGCUUGAACAGCUUCUAUCCCCAAGCAAUACGACUGAUAAUUAGCUAACAAAAUUGCUACACGGACCAAGUUUACCUUGCAUCUUUAUUGACCUUUUAUUUCAGUGUUUUACACCGUCUAUGCACACUCACAGGGCCCUACACACUGUCACUCCAAAACAAACACUCCAUUUUCUCACUCACACAUAAUAUGCACAUACAUUUAUACAAGCUACACACCCACACGCUGCUGUUACUCUGUUUAUCUUAUAUCCUGUUGCCUAAUCACCUUACCCCUAUACAUAUCUACCUCUAUCACCCCAGUAUCCCUGCACAUGUAAAUAUGGUAUUGGAACAAACUUUUUAAAUAUUUCCUGUAUAUAGUAUGUUUGUUUACUUUAUUGUGUAUUUCAUAUUUCUUGUGUGCUUUUUUCUAGAAAUACAUUUGAUUAUUGCAUUGCUGGUUUUUGAGUUUGCAUUAAAGGCAUUUUACUGUGCAUGUGA
This is a long non-coding RNA of Oncorhynchus tshawytscha (Chinook salmon), 1912 nucleotides long. The record is from Ensembl. Lineage: Eukaryota; Metazoa; Chordata; Actinopteri; Salmoniformes; Salmonidae.